CUUUGUGUCCAUAGCUGGCUCUGUCCUCACCUUGCUGGCUUUGUCGUUGCAGUCAGUCUGAUUGUCUGAGCUGGGUUCAACCGUCAUCUGUUCUCUCUGGGUCCGCUCCUGAUCGUCCUUAACUGGCUGAGAGGCCAAAGAGAGCUAGUGCACCAAAGAGCACCGGAUCCAUUACCGACUGAUGUGCCCCCUGUACAACAAAUUCUAUCCCACCGGAUGUUGACAUGCCAGCAGACAGAAAGACAGAAUGUACAUGAGUGACGUGACGGGGCUCCGGAGCGAGUAACGUUAUCGACUCCGGACCAGGAGAUCAGAACUACGGUGUCUCCCCUUUGCCUUCUGACCACGGUCGGGAGGCUGAAGCAGGAAAAGUUAUCGACCGUGCCUUCGAUGCAGGGCGGGACCUUCGAUUGGCAAGCUAACAUUUCAGCUAAGCAUGUGAAACUUAUAGUGAUGUUGUGGUUUUAGCUGCUAAUGUUGCUAACGUUAAUCAACAUGAUGCCUUUCAAUCACGUUCAGUCUGGUGUGUGUCGCCUCACUGUUUUUGACCGAUGCUCGUUCUCUGACUACGAGCGCCAGCAACAGGACGAUGACUGUCGUUGACUUAACGGCCACAGGUGUCACUGUUAACAAGCCAUUUCUGAUUCUUACAUCUGGCCCCAUUAAGGAAAUUACUCCCAAUAACUGACACACGUAACCCUGAGGCCAUGUAUAGUCUGCUGUAGGCAUUAUACUGGAUGAAAACACUGAGGAUGGGAGGUGGGGAAGUCAUUACCUCCCAAACUCAAACUUUUUUGAAGCUUCAUGAGCACAGGCUCUCAACAGGGACCUGCAUCAUCAUCACAUUCGGAUCCUUAUCCCAAUCUCAGCAUCACAUAAUUACCUCAUGUCUCUUAAGGACCUACGCUAGCAUCACACAUGACUCCCUGACGCCACAUAAAAAUCCAAACCAUCAACCCCAAACACAGUAUUUACGUCUGACGCUAUCAUAGCGAUUAAAAGGAGGGUUCCAUUAAUAGCUUGCAGUUACAGUCAGAUCCAUACAUGCAAGUCCAGAGCACACACGGCAGGGUUACUACGUCAGAAGUGUCAGAAUCGGCUCCAUAAAGGAUCCAGCUGGCUGCCUCUUUCAUGGCAUCCCUUCAAAGCAUCCCUGUGAACUGAACUAAUCCUCUGUCAUCCACACAAACACCCAUGGAAACGCACAAACACACACACUAUGUGUUUGAAAUAGUAUAAGUAAUAGACUGAAGUGGGUAGGGGGCUGCUGGUCUCUAACAGGUGGGGGGUUGAUGCUUUGUCAGCGUUCUUUGUUGCUGUUCUUUAAAUGACAAAAAAAAGCUCUCUCUAGAUGAUGCUGUGUCAUCAGGUCUGAUUGUUUCCGUCCUCUCAUCCUAUCGCUCCAUCUCCUGAGACUACAGAUCGUCUCAUAUAAAUGCAAUCAAAUCUGCACCAAGGGGCCAUCUUCUCAUAAUCACCUCGCCCAAUGCAAAAAUUAAACAACACUCUGGAGUUUAUAUGUAAUGAUGAAUCUUUCUGUAAAUAUUGUCACUGGUAGAUGUUACCUCAGCCAGAUAUAACUGAAUCAGAGCCAGCUUCAUUUGACACUGAGGUCAUGUCCUCAGUAUCUUUUCUGGGAUUUAUGGUCAUUUUCAGCAACCUGAGGGGAGUUUACAUUAUAGCAGAGUGGAGGGUGUUGUAUGAUGACCCUGAUGAAAGCCACAAGUCAGUCACGGAAGUUUACAAAGACCAAAUUGCAUGGCAACCCAUCCAACAUUUGUUGAAAGGGAAAGUCAGGGGAUUACCAAAGUCAUCAGGAUUCUCUUUUCUGGGGUACAGGAAUCUUUUUGCCAAUCUGAGAAAUUUUAUUAGAUAAAAGGUCAUUAGGAUCUAUCCUAUGGGGAACAUGGGUGACUGUCUGUACAAAAUGUUAUGGCUAUCCAUCCAGUGGCCGUCAAGACAUUUCACUCAAAAACAAAAAUGCCCGAAAUCACGUAGUGGCGCUAGAGGACAAGUCAGGGGAUCAGUAAAGUCAUCAGGAUUCAUCCUCUGGGGGCCGUGAAAAUUUCAAAAUGUCCUGUAACUAUUUCCUCACCAGAAUAGGAUUCCUGGUUUUGUAGGGAAGGCUCUUAAAUAAAAUUUAAAGGUCCCAUAUCAUGCUCAUUUUCAGGUUCAUACUUGUAUUUUGUGUUUUACUAGAACAUGUUUACAUGCUGUAAUGUUAAAAAAAAACUU
This is a long non-coding RNA of Sebastes umbrosus (honeycomb rockfish), 2235 nucleotides long. RefSeq lists it as uncharacterized. The record is from RefSeq and is a predicted model, not a curated record. Lineage: Eukaryota; Metazoa; Chordata; Actinopteri; Perciformes; Sebastidae. The transcript is spliced from 3 exons.